UACGUAGGGUGCGAGCGUUGUCCGGAAUUAUUGGGCGUAAAGAGCUCGUAGGCGGCUUGUCGCGUCGGAUGUGAAAGCCCGGGGCUUAACUCCGGGUCUGCAUUCGAUACGGGCAGGCUAGAGUUCGGUAGGGGAGAUCGGAAUUCCUGGUGUAGCGGUGAAAUGCGUAGAGAUCCGGAGGAACACCGGUGGCGAAGGCGGAUCUCUGGGCCAUUACUGACGCUGAGGAGCGAAAGCGUGGGGAGCGAACAGG
RNAcentral lists this ribosomal RNA (253 nucleotides) under uncultured bacterium. Its description in RNAcentral is "partial 16S ribosomal RNA". It matches the Rfam family "Bacterial small subunit ribosomal RNA", at positions 524 to 776 of the family's 1533-position model. The record is from RNAcentral.